UACGGAGGGGGCUAGCGUUGUUCGGAUUUACUGGGCGUAAAGGGCGCGUAGGCGGCACUGUUAGUCAGGCGUGAAAUUCCUGGGCUCAACCUGGGGACUGCGCUUGAGACGUGUGGGCUUGAGUGGGGAAGAGGGUCGUGGAAUUCCCAGUGUAGAGGUGAAAUGCGUAGAUAUCGGGAGGAACACCUGUGGCAAAAGCGGCUCUCUGGACCACAACUGACGCUGAGGCGCGAAAGCUAGGGGAGCAAACAGG
RNAcentral lists this ribosomal RNA (253 nucleotides) under uncultured bacterium. RNAcentral's name for it is "partial 16S ribosomal RNA". It matches the Rfam family "Bacterial small subunit ribosomal RNA", at positions 524 to 776 of the family's 1533-position model. The record is from RNAcentral.